GAUGAACGCUAGCGACAGGCUUAACACAUGCAAGUCGAGGGGCAUCAUGAGGUAGCAAUACCUUGAUGGCGACCGGCGCACGGGUGAGUAACGCGUAUGCAACCUGCCCGAUACCGGGGUAUAGCCCAUGGAAACGUGGAUUAACACCCCAUAGUACUUUUAUCCUGCCUGGGAUGGGAGUUAAAUGUUCAAGGUAUCGGAUGGGCAUGCGUCCUAUUAGUUAGUUGGCGGGGUAACAGCCCACCAAGACGAUGAUAGGUAGGGGUUCUGAGAGGAAGGUCCCCCACAUUGGAACUGAGACACGGUCCAAACUACUACGGGAGGCAGCAGUGAGGAAUAUUGGUCAAUGGACGUAAGUCUGAACCAGCCAAGUCGCGUGAGGGAAGACUGCCCUAUGGGUUGUAAACCUCUUUUAUAAGGGAAGAAUAAGUUCUACGUGUAGAAUGAUGCCUGUACCUUAUGAAUAAGCAUCGGCUAACUCCGUGCCAGCCGCCGCAGUAA
Molecule: ribosomal RNA, 501 nt
Filed under: uncultured bacterium
Lineage: Bacteria
Description: partial 16S ribosomal RNA
Rfam family: Bacterial small subunit ribosomal RNA
Source: RNAcentral